This 586-nucleotide ribosomal RNA is filed under the name uncultured bacterium. Its description in RNAcentral is "bacterial SSU rRNA". It matches the Rfam family "Bacterial small subunit ribosomal RNA", at positions 338 to 916 of the family's 1533-position model. The record is from RNAcentral.
CCUACGGGAGGCAGCAGUGGGGAAUUUUGGACAAUGGGCGCAAGCCUGAUCCAGCAAUGCCGCGUGAGUGAAGAAGGCCUUCGGGUUGUAAAGCUCUUUUGUCAGGGAAGAAACGGUGGGGGCUAAUAUCUCCUACUAAUGACGGUACCUGAAGAAUAAGCACCGGCUAACUACGUGCCAGCAGCCGCGGUAAUACGUAGGGUGCAAGCGUUAAUCGGAAUUACUGGGCGUAAAGCGUGCGCAGGCGGUUUUGUAAGUCUGUCGUGAAAGCCCCGGGCUCAACCUGGGAAUUGCGAUGGAGACUGCAAGGCUUGAAUCUGGCAGAGGGGGGUAGAAUUCCACGUGUAGCAGUGAAAUGCGUAGAGAUGUGGAGGAACACCGAUGGCGAAGGCAGCCCCCUGGGUCAAGAUUGACGCUCAUGCACGAAAGCGUGGGGAGCAAACAGGAUUAGAUACCCUGGUAGUCCACGCCCUAAACGAUGUCUACUAGUUGUCGGGUUUUAAUUAACUUGGUAACGCAGCUAACGCGUGAAGUAGACCGCCUGGGGAGUACGGUCGCAAGAUUAAAACUCAAAUGAAAUUGACGG